UACAAAGGGUGCAAGCGUUACUCGGAAUUACUGGGCGUAAAGCGUGCGUAGGUGGUUCGUUAAGUCUGUCGUGAAAGCCCCGGGCUCAACCUGGGAAUGGCGAUGGAUACUGGCGGGCUAGAGUGCGGUAGAGGAGAGUGGAAUUCCCGGUGUAGCAGUGAAAUGCGUAGAGAUCGGGAGGAACAUCAGUUGCGAAGGCGACUCUCUGGACCAGCACUGACACUGAGGCACGAAAGCGUGGGGAGCAAACAGG
RNAcentral lists this ribosomal RNA (253 nucleotides) under uncultured bacterium. Its description in RNAcentral is "partial 16S ribosomal RNA". It matches the Rfam family "Bacterial small subunit ribosomal RNA", at positions 524 to 776 of the family's 1533-position model. The record is from RNAcentral.